Molecule: long non-coding RNA, 250 nt
Filed under: Nicotiana benthamiana
Lineage: Eukaryota; Viridiplantae; Streptophyta; Magnoliopsida; Solanales; Solanaceae
Description: long non-coding RNA (NBEN_LNC007960)
Source: RNAcentral
GGUUGUUCCAUGCCUCUCCAUGACCUUGCUUGACAUUCCGAGGAAGCUACCACAUAUCCGCUGAAGUUGUGGAUUGAAAAUGAGGUUAAACCUAUGGUUGCAAUUGAAUAAACUCUAAACGUCCCUCAAUUAUAGUUACAUUCUUUUUUGUUUUCGUACGUCCCUCGAUAUUCAAUUUCCGUGGGAGCCAUAUUGAUAGAAGAAGUGUAAAAUUACAGUUACUUUAGUAACAUUACACAUCGAUGAUAUA